This 1063-nucleotide long non-coding RNA is filed under the name Piliocolobus tephrosceles (Ugandan red Colobus). RNAcentral describes it as "lncRNA (ENSPTEG00000001661.1)". The record is from RNAcentral. Lineage: Eukaryota; Metazoa; Chordata; Mammalia; Primates; Cercopithecidae.
GAGAACUAGAAAACCCAGGGGGUUGGAGUGAAUGGCCUGGGUCACACAGCGAGCCUGGAUUGGAAUCAGGUGGUGACAAAACCUCCUUUCUGUAUCCAGGAUUCCCUUCAACUCUCACCGAAAGGCCUGCGGCCUGCGUGUUAGCUGCUUUGUGGGUCAGGGAUGGCUCCCUGCUCUCUUGGACUCGCAGCAGAGGUCACAAAGCUUCCAGAAGGUUAGGCUGGGAUCCUGGAGAAUCUGGGGUUGCUUGGCGCCUCCCUGGAGCCCUGGAUAACACCCUUCUCUUCCACGUCACCUGCUCUCCCAUUCAGUCCUCACUUCAGAGAGACAGCCUAGAACUGAUUCUUCAAAAGUACAUAAGGCUGAGUCUCCAGUCAGCUUUCUGCAGUCUUGGCCUGCACUCCUCAAUCUGCGACCCAUUGCAGUCUCCUCUCCUGCAGGAAGGCUGCGUAGCUGCCCUGUCAUGUCACAGUGGUGUGGAGCUGGGAGGGGCCUUGAAGCCUGGGCUCCUACCCAUCAUGACAGCCAAUGCUCACAGCUAGCUGUGAAUGCACACCUACUAUGUGCCUGCAUCUCCUCCUCCUCCUCAUGACAUGAGGUAGGUGGUGUCAUGCCCCCAUUUUAUAGAUAAAAUAACUGAGGCUUAGAGAGGUGAAGUGUCUUGUCUAAGGAUAACAGCUAGCAAAGGGCUAAGCUGGGGAAGACUGUUUUGGACGCCACUCUGUGGCCAGUUGAGGACACAAAACCAGGCAAGUCAAGCCCUUGAUGUCAAGCAGUUCACAGACUUUGAACCAGGCUGGCUGGCUAGCUGGAUGGACAGACAGACAGAAAGCCAGAUUUGAAGGUACAGAGAAAAACAGGUAAUGAAGUGAGGCUGCACAGGGGACCUCUUUCUUCUCAAUUUGAUGGGUGAUGAGUGAGCAAGUCUCACUGGUUUGAUGCUAGCUUGCUGUGUGACCUUGGUGAUCCAUUGAACCUCUCUGAAUGUAACGGUGCCAUCUGUGAAAUGAGGGCUUAGAUACCACAGCUCCUAAAAUCCCACUGGGCCUCAGUGUUCUCUAAU